Long non-coding RNA from Aethalodelphis obliquidens (Pacific white-sided dolphin), 964 nucleotides. RefSeq lists it as uncharacterized. The transcript has 2 exons. The record is from RefSeq and is a predicted model, not a curated record. Lineage: Eukaryota; Metazoa; Chordata; Mammalia; Artiodactyla; Delphinidae.
CUUCCCUACCCGCUGGGGAGUCCAUUUCCACAAGAAUAUGAGACGGGGAGCUUGGGGACACCCUCUCUGCGACUGAGGAACUCAAGUUUGCCAUGCGAGAAGCCACUGGGCCAAGGCUGGCAGUGAUUUCGGGGGAGACAGCACAUCACUUUCAGGGUUGGCCUCUAAGAGCCGGCAGAGCCGUGACAGGAUUUUCAAUCUGGACACACCCGCUCCUCUCUGGGUUUGGGCUCAGAUUCCACGGCCAAAUCUGUGCCAAGUCUCCUGUGUUCAGACUCGGUAGGCGGUGGAUGGAAGGCGUGGAGACCCCUCCUGAGAGCGACAGCGUGGGCCAGCGCCACCGGCUAGGGCCAGCCAGCCAGGGAGCAGCCCGCCCCGUCAUGCCGAGGGAAGCCAGGCCUCCUCAGUGAGGGUUUUGUCUUCAGCAGGAAAACAGGAAAGGAGGCCAUGGAGCCACCGUGCAAACUGCGGUCUCUGUGCUCCCCAGACCCCAUCGCCUCUGUGGCCCUGAGCACCGCGCUCGGUGCUCUGGGCAGCAGAGCUCAGAUAAAAUGCAAAUGAAGAAAAUCCGAUUCAAACGAAUUUAGGAGAAAGAGUAAGUUACUGGCUCUUGUAAGGGAAAACAGAGAUGGAGUUGGCUUCAGGGACGGCUGGAUUCAGGAUUCAGAUGCCCCAGCCUCCCCUCUCCCCGCUCCUCUCUGCUUCCCUCUAUAUCUGGACUCUGUUCUCUCCACAUGCAGAGUGGGUCCCUAGCUCCACUAGAAAAUCCUGGAAAUGAACCUUGGCCACCUAAGGUCAGGUGGCCAAGCCAGUUGCUUGGUCACCUGACCAGUUGCUGCAACCGUGGAGAUGAUUGCAUGAGAAGAUGCCUCAUGACAGAGAAGGGAAGAACUUCCUCAAGAGAAGAAAGUGCUGGGCAGACAGAGCAACAAUUGUUUCUUAUUAAUCAUGUCUCUUUACUCUG